AGCGAACGCUGGCGGCAGGCUUAACACAUGCAAGUCGAACGGGCGUAGCAAUACGUCAGUGGCAGACGGGUGAGUAACGCGUGGGAACGUACCUUUUGGUUCGGAACAACACAGGGAAACUUGUGCUAAUACCGGAUAAGCCCUUACGGGGAAAGAUUUAUCGCCGAAAGAUCGGCCCGCGUCUGAUUAGCUAGUUGGUGAGGUAACGGCUCACCAAGGCGACGAUCAGUAGCUGGUCUGAGAGGAUGAUCAGCCACAUUGGGACUGAGACACGGCCCAAACUCCUACGGGAGGCAGCAGUGGGGAAUAUUGGACAAUGGGGGCAACCCUGAUCCAGCAAUGCCGCGUGUGUGAAGAAGGCCUUAGGGUUGUAAAGCACUUUAGGCUGGGAAGAAGGUGAGUGGUUUAAGAGAUGACUCAUUUGACGGUACCGGCAGAAUAAGCACCGGCUAACUCUGUG
This 460-nucleotide ribosomal RNA is filed under the name uncultured bacterium. RNAcentral's name for it is "bacterial SSU rRNA". It matches the Rfam family "Bacterial small subunit ribosomal RNA", at positions 29 to 507 of the family's 1533-position model. The record is from RNAcentral.